Molecule: ribosomal RNA, 503 nt
Filed under: uncultured bacterium
Lineage: Bacteria
Description: partial 16S ribosomal RNA
Rfam family: Bacterial small subunit ribosomal RNA
Source: RNAcentral
AUUGAACGCUGGCGGCAGGCUUAACACAUGCAAGUCGAGCGGGGUGAUGGUGCUUGCACUAUCACUUAGCGGCGGACGGGUGAGUAAUGCUUAGGAAUCUGCCUAUUAGUGGGGGACAACAUCUCGCAAGGGAUGCUAAUACCGCAUACGUCCUACGGGAGAAAGCAGGGGAUCACUUGUGACCUUGCGCUAAUAGAUGAGCCUAAGUCGGAUUAGCUGGUUGGUGGGGUAAAGGCCUACCAAGGCGACGAUCUGUAGCGGGUCUGAGAGGAUGGUCCGACACCCUGGGAGUGACACACGGCCGAGACGACGAGGGGAGGAAGCAGUGGGGAAUAUUGGAAAUUGGGGGGAACCCUGAUCCAGCCAUGCCGCGUGUGUGAAGAAGGCCUUAUGGUUGUAAAGCACUUUAAGCGAGGAGGAGGCUCUUUUGGUUAAUACCCAAGAUGAGUGGACGUUACUCGCAGAAUAAGCACCGGCUAACUCUGUGCCAGCCGCCGUAAAAC